GGGGGUGUAGAUCAAUAGUUAGAGUGUCUGUUUAGCAAACAGGAGGCUUUGAGUUCAAAUCUUAAUAUGAUUA
This 73-nucleotide transfer RNA is filed under the name Dipodomys ordii (Ord's kangaroo rat). It matches the Rfam family "tRNA". Rfam says of the family: Transfer RNA (tRNA) molecules are approximately 80 nucleotides in length. Their secondary structure includes four short double-helical elements and three loops (D, anti-codon, and T loops). The record is from Rfam by way of RNAcentral. Lineage: Eukaryota; Metazoa; Chordata; Mammalia; Rodentia; Heteromyidae.